AAGCAUCUGAGGAGAAUCCUUUUUAAUGGGUUUUGUAAAAUAACACACUAAUGGAAUUGACAUGACAUCUAACCCAAAAUUUUAAGGCAUUGGGUUUAUAGGUCUUUUUAACUUAUAUGUCCUUCACUCAUCCCAUUUCUUUUUGAUGUGAAAAUUCUAACACUUGAAUAUUCUCAACAAUCUCUUCCUCAAACGUGAAUUUCUUUCACAUUGGGCUUACUAAGGCUUGCUCCCUCUCGAACGAAAGCUUUUUCCUUAACUCGAGUAUUACGGUGCCACCAAGAGCCCAAUUAUUCCACCUAAGCAUGCACUUCUAAAAGCCACGCUAGAGCUAUCACGUGUACUGAGAGUCUCCACUCUAUUUGUCUGCUUUUCUCAAAUAGAGUGCCUUCUUGCUCCAUUGGGCCUACUAAGAGUCUCAUGGCUCUUCCAUUCAUGUUUUAGAGCAUCACGGGAAUCACCAACCACCGUUUCCAUACUUUUCCCUGCCGAACUAUAGGCCCUGAUACCAUUUGUUAGAGAUCUGGGGAGCUUAAAGCGCCUGGGGAGAAUCCUUCUUGAUAGGCUUUGUGAAAGAACACUUAUGAGUUUGACAUCACAUUCCACUUAUAUGUCUUUCACUUAUUCCAUCUCUUUUCAAUGAGGAAUUUUAACACUUGAAUAUUCCCAAUAGAAGGAAUGUGCAUGUUUUGAG
Molecule: unclassified non-coding RNA, 694 nt
Filed under: Hevea brasiliensis (rubber tree)
Lineage: Eukaryota; Viridiplantae; Streptophyta; Magnoliopsida; Malpighiales; Euphorbiaceae
Source: RNAcentral